RNAcentral lists this ribosomal RNA (247 nucleotides) under uncultured bacterium. RNAcentral's name for it is "partial 16S ribosomal RNA". It matches the Rfam family "Bacterial small subunit ribosomal RNA", at positions 15 to 258 of the family's 1533-position model. The record is from RNAcentral.
GAUCAUGGCUCAGGAUGAACGCUAGCGACAGGCUUAACACAUGCAAGUCGAGGGGCAGCGAGGGAGUGGCAACACUUCUGUCGGCGACCGGCGCACGGGUGAGUAACGCGUAUGCAACCUGCCCUUCACAGGGGGAUAACCGGGAGAAAUUCCGACUAAUACCGCAUACGUCCUCCGGGGGCAUCCCCGGGGAGUGAAGAAUUAUUCGUGAGAUGGCGAUGCGUGAUAUUAGGUUAGUUGGUCGGGG